GAUUAACGCUAGCGGCAGGCAUAAUACAUGCAAGUUGAACGGCAGCACAGGUAGCACUACUGGGUGGCGAGUGGCGCACGGGUGCGUAACACGUAUGCAACCUACCCUAUACAGGCGAAUAACCUUUAGAAAUGAGGGCUAAUACGCCGUAGUAUUACAGAUGGGCAUCUAUUUGUAAUUAAAGAUUUAUCGGUAUAGGAUGGGCAUGCGUCCCAUUAGUUAGUUGGUAAGGUAACGGCUUACCAAGACGAUGAUGGGUAGGGGAUCUGAGAGGACUUACCCCCACACUGGUACUGAGACACGGACCAGACUCCUACGGGAGGCAGCAGUAAGGAAUAUUGGGCAAUGGCCGCGAGGCUGACCCAGCCAUGCCGCGUGCAGGAAGACGGCCUUAUGGGUUGUAAACUGCUUUUAUACGGGAAUAAUAGAGUGUACGCGUACAUUUAUGCAAGUAUCGUAUGAAUAAGCAUCGGCUAACUCCGUG
Molecule: ribosomal RNA, 484 nt
Filed under: uncultured bacterium
Lineage: Bacteria
Description: partial 16S ribosomal RNA
Rfam family: Bacterial small subunit ribosomal RNA
Source: RNAcentral